CAGGUCACACUUGCUGAGGAUAUGGAGGAUUCCAUUAUUUGGAAGUUCACCAAGGACGGUUUGUACUCUGCCUCCUCGGCUUAUAAGGCGCAAUUUGAGGACCUUACUACAUCGGAAACGGUUCAGUCGGUGUGGAAGGUGUGGGCUCCUCCGCGGUGCAAUUUUUUUGCUUGGCUUGCCCUUCAAAACAGGAUUUGGACAUGA
This 204-nucleotide ribosomal RNA is filed under the name Triticum aestivum (bread wheat). RNAcentral's name for it is "partial small subunit ribosomal RNA". The record is from RNAcentral. Lineage: Eukaryota; Viridiplantae; Streptophyta; Magnoliopsida; Poales; Poaceae.